GACGAACCGUGCGAACGUUGUUCGGAUUCACUGGGCUUAAAGGGCGCGUAGGCGGCUGGCCAAGUCAGGGGUGAAAUCUUUCGGCUCAACCGGAAACGUGCCCCUGAUACUGGCCGGCUUGAGGAGGGUAGGGGCGGAUGGAACUUCCGGUGGAGCGGUGAAAUGCGUAGAUAUCGGAAGGAACGCCGGUGGCGAAAGCGAUCCGCUGGACCCUUUCUGACGCUGAGGCGCGAAAGCCAGGGGAGCGAACGGG
This 253-nucleotide ribosomal RNA is filed under the name uncultured bacterium. Its description in RNAcentral is "partial 16S ribosomal RNA". It matches the Rfam family "Bacterial small subunit ribosomal RNA", at positions 524 to 776 of the family's 1533-position model. The record is from RNAcentral.